CUCUUGUCUUCCUCUUAGUGAGUGUUCUAAAUUCACUACAAAAGUUAAUUACUAUGUUAGUGCAUGAUACCAAUGUUUUCCCUCAAAAAAGUAAAUGAAGAGUAAAUAUCAAUGUGCUUGUAUUUUCUCUAAUGAGGUAAGAUUGAAAGUUGAUGAACUUCCCACUUGAUAAAGAUCAGUUGUCCCACUCUUUGUCUCAUUCUCUGUCCCCAUUAUGAUUGGUCCGUGACAGAGAUUAGGACGGAGAGUGUGACAUCUGAUAUGUGUCCCUUCCCACAGGCCUUCCUAAUUGUGGAUAAAUAGAGGAUAUUUGAAAAUUUUCAUCAUCAUUUGGUUUAUCAAUAACACCUCCAACUCUAUUCAUCAUUGACUCAACUUGU
This is a non-coding RNA of Lupinus albus (white lupine), 380 nucleotides long. The record is from the annotation of a GenBank genome assembly. Lineage: Eukaryota; Viridiplantae; Streptophyta; Magnoliopsida; Fabales; Fabaceae.